UAGGAAGUGCAGUUGAAUUCUGUUUUCAAGAAUUUAUCCAUGAAUGUUGAUUUAAGAUUUACAUUGUCUUUAUCCUGCAUCAGACAUAUUAGGAAACGCCAGACACGAGGAGAGAAAUUGCUGAACAUAGCCUGAUCUAGCUGUGAAUGUCCCUGUUAAUUGCAAGCGAGUUGGACUAGAUGACCUUUAAAGGUCCCUUCCAACUCUAAGGAUUCUAUGAUUCCUUAACAAAUAACAGAGUGAGCAGCUGACAAACUUUGCAGAAUAACACCAUGAGAAAUGGCUGGAUUUCAGAUUGUUACGAGGAGCUACGUGAGAGGAGGCCAGGGUCCACAGUUGGCUGCGUCUCAUGUGAGGGAGUUCCAGUUUGGAGGGAAGCACAGUCCCGCACAAGUAACUCAGUCCCUAAAAGCAGUGGUGGAAGAGGUCAAGAAUAAUAGUGAAUAUGUUGAUGGCACCUGGCAGAGCAGGUUCUCAGCACAUCUCCACACAGUUCCUGGAGACCUCCAGCUGUCCUGCAGGGACAGAUUGUAGUCUUCAGUCAAAUGCUUCAAACCUGUAGAUGCAAAGUUGCUUAUGAUACUAAAGAUGUGUCUGGCCAUUUUCAGCUUUAACAGGGCUCAGAAAGUUUCUUCUGCAGCUACUGCUCUGAUAGCUCCAGCUUCUUAUCUUGUUCUUUAAUUGUUUUGCCUCUCUCUGUGGUGUCACUCCAGGUGCUGAGUGUGCCCUCAUCCAUGCAGCAUCUGUUCCUGUAUUGCAGAAAACAUUCAGUUUGCGGGAUUUGUGUGUGUACCACUGCCUCUUUGCAGGAGGAGACUUUGCAACAUAAUGAAAUCUGUAUUCUUUUUUAUUAUUAUUUCUUUUGGUGGCACUGGAGAGGAGAUUGUCUUCCUUGUAGCUCUGGGCAGCCUAGUCUGGUGGUUGGUGACUCUUCCCAUGACAGGGGGGUUGAAACUACAUGAUCAUUCUGGUCCUUUUCAACUCAGGCCAUUCUGUGAUUCUAUGCCAUAACUGACACACAUAAUUUGUUCCAUAAUCAUCACACAACUAUUUACAUAAACUUUCUUUUCAAGUCCUUGUGGUCAGAAAUUGAUGAGAACCUAUACACUAACUGGAAGAACUCUUUUCGAAAAUUAUCAGAUGUGAACUCUUUUCGAAAAUUAUCAGAUGUGAACUCUUUUCGAAAACUUUCUUUUCUUGAAGAAUAAAGAUUACAAGUGUUAAAGUCA
This 1229-nucleotide long non-coding RNA is filed under the name Phasianus colchicus (ring-necked pheasant). RNAcentral describes it as "lncRNA (ENSPCLG00000003170.1)". Lineage: Eukaryota; Metazoa; Chordata; Aves; Galliformes; Phasianidae. The record is from RNAcentral.